CAGCCGCCGCGGUAAUACGUAGGUGGCGAGCGUUGUCCGGAAUUAUUGGGCGUAAAGGGAGCGCAGGCGGACAUAUAAGUCCAUCUUAAAAGUGCGGGGCUCAACCCCGUGAUGGGAUGGAAACUAGUAGGCUAGAGUAUCGGAGAGGAAAGCGGAAUUCCUAGUGUAGCGGUGAAAUGCGUAGAUAUUAGGAAGAACACCAGUGGCGAAGGCGGCUUUCUGGACGAAAACUGACGCUGAGGCGCGAAAGCCAGGGGAGCGAACGGGAUUAGAUACCCCUGUAGUCCCUGUCUCUUAUACA
Molecule: ribosomal RNA, 301 nt
Filed under: uncultured bacterium
Lineage: Bacteria
Description: partial 16S ribosomal RNA
Rfam family: Bacterial small subunit ribosomal RNA
Source: RNAcentral